This 460-nucleotide ribosomal RNA is filed under the name uncultured bacterium. RNAcentral describes it as "partial 16S ribosomal RNA". It matches the Rfam family "Bacterial small subunit ribosomal RNA", at positions 338 to 795 of the family's 1533-position model. The record is from RNAcentral.
CCUACGGGAGGCUGCAGUGAGGAAUAUUGGUCAAUGGACGAGAGUCUGAACCAGCCAAGUAGCGUGAAGGAUGACUGCCCUAUGGGUUGUAAACUUCUUUUAUAAAGGAAUAAAACGAGGCACGUGUGCCUUUUUGCAUGUACUUUAUGAAUAAGGAUCGGCUAACUCCGUGCCAGCAGCCGCGGUAAUACGGAGGAUCCGAGCGUUAUCCGGAUGUAUUGGGUUUAAAGGGAGCGUAGAUGGGUUGUUAAGUCAGUUGUGAAAGUUUGCGGCUCAACCGUAAAAUUGCAAUUGAUACUGGCAGUCUUGAGUACAGUUGAGGUAGGCGGAAUUCGUGGUGUAGCGGUGAAAUGCUUAGAUAUCACGAAGAACCCCGAUUGCGAAGGCAGCUUACUAAACUGUGACUGACAUUGAUGCUCGAAAGUGUGGGUAUCAAACAGGAUUAGAUACCCUUGUAGUC